UACGGGGGGAGCAAGCGUUGUUCGGAUUUACUGGGCGUAAAGGGCGCGUAGGCGGUCGUGACAAGUCACUUGUGAAAUCUCCGGGCUUAACUCGGAACGGUCAAGUGAUACUGUCGGACUAGAGUACAGAAGGGGCAACUGGAAUUCCUGGUGUAGCGGUGAAAUGCGCAGAUAUCAGGAGGAACACCGGUGGCGAAGGCGGGUCUCUGGGCAACAACUGACGCUGAGGAGCGAAAGCGUGGGGAGCGAACAGG
This 254-nucleotide ribosomal RNA is filed under the name uncultured bacterium. RNAcentral's name for it is "partial 16S ribosomal RNA". It matches the Rfam family "Bacterial small subunit ribosomal RNA", at positions 524 to 776 of the family's 1533-position model. The record is from RNAcentral.